AGUAAUUAUAUCAGAUUACUUUUGAGUGUUAUUGAGCUAAUAACGUCUCCAAUAAAAUAUCAUUUAUUUUCAUUUCACAUUUUAUUCCAAUAAGACGUAUUAUAGUAUUAUAAUUUUUUAAUAAAAUAUGAUUGUUUCAAAACAUCAUCUUCGACUUUUAGUCGGAGUAUUAGUCAUUUAUUGCUGUAUUGAAUCCAAUGUUGGAUCAAUUCGUGGCGUGUUGCAUGAGAUCCAAUCGAGCAAACGCCUCUAGCACGCGGACAAACGAGGAAAAAUUAUAGUGGCUCCUCGUUGACUAAAUCCAAAACUAAUCAAAAUAAAUAUAUUUGAAAACAGACUACUGAGGCUUCAACGUCAUCUGAUAUUCCGUCUGAUACCACCCGGGUCGAUACAACAAUGUCCGAUACAACUAUCUCGCCAACUGAUGAAACAGUUACACCGAAAAGCCAUCGUCAUAGAACAAUUAUUUGGACUAGAAAAACGUCUGGAACGACAGAAGAACCAUCGUCGACGAUAACGGAAGAGGGAAAAACAGAUAGACUAUAUUAUUAACUAUAACUGCCGCUAAACAUCGCUAAACUUGUAGACGAAACAUUACUAUAGAUUUGUAUAAAAUAAACAAUUGUGUUCACUCGAGAAUAAAAUAAAAAUAUAAUA
Rhopalosiphum padi (bird cherry-oat aphid) is the source of this 657-nucleotide RNA transcript. RefSeq lists it as uncharacterized. NCBI's taxonomy places the organism in Eukaryota, Metazoa, Arthropoda, Insecta, Hemiptera, Aphididae. The record is from RefSeq and is a predicted model, not a curated record. The transcript is spliced from 3 exons.